Molecule: long non-coding RNA, 5421 nt
Organism: Orbicella faveolata
Lineage: Eukaryota; Metazoa; Cnidaria; Anthozoa; Scleractinia; Merulinidae
Source: RefSeq, a predicted model, not a curated record
CGGUUUUAACCCGGUUUUCAUCAAGCAAUACUCAUUUCAUACAAAUAAAAAAUAGAUAUUUCCAUUGAUUGUAAACUAAACAGUCCAAUUAAAGAUUGUCUCGGGGGAACCAAGGCGGUGACGCGAUUCGGUUUUACUACAGAAAUCAGAUUUCCAGGGCCGUAUUUAAUAACGAGCAAAGCGAGGUACUUGCCUCAGUAACAAUUUUGAAUUUAUUUAUAUUAUUUAUUCCAAGUUCUCGUUAUAGGCUGCGCAUUACAAAAAUAAAUCAAUGUGAAACAAGAGUUUUUUUUGCUGAUAUUGCCUUGGAAAAAAAAAUUUUACUCUGGCUAAGGUCGUCAAUUUUGACACAGACUAACGCAUGGAAAACGAGCAUGAAACGCUUGUAAUUCACUUUCUCGCAAACUAACCAAAAAUUACUUUUGAUCAGUAAACUUAUAUCGACUCUAUGUUCCAAAAUUUAAAUUUUACACAAAGGUAAAUUAGACAGAGGAUUUCUAUGCAAAUACUACUUCGCUCCAAGUUUUCAAAAUGGCGGACAAUAUGCGAUGCGCACUGGACUAGCAAACGUUAACCGCAUUUUACACGGUAAAAUUCGAGAAAUGCUAUGGAAAUUUUAUUAGAUUAGCCAUACUCUUUUCCGUAGCUCUUGGAAAAUAAAUCAAUGACGAUAAGGUUCAGAAACGCCUCAGGUUCAUUGAACCUGCUGCCAGAAGCUUCUGUGUUGUCCCGUCUCCAUAACAGGGCACGUCUUCCCACCUGAACUAAAAGCGUCAUAACAAGCCGGGCCACCGCCUAGCAAUCCAAACUAAGGAACACUUUUGAAAAUCUCUAAGUUUUCAGUCAGCCUUUGCCACUUCUGUGCUCGUCAGUGUCGCAAAACAUACGAUGAUAAUUGCGUUCGCAGAAGAAGAAUUUACUGAGGUUGUAAAAUCGCCCCAAAGGGCCACAAAGAUUGAACUGAGAGGGAUGCGGACUCUUGCACUCUUUGAAAUCGGAGAUAAGUGGAAUGUUUAAAUCGCGUGUUUAUUUGUGUUUGUGCUCCGUUGAUUUGCCAUCAGCUGGCGAUGUACACGCAAUAGAUGCUAUUUUGAGGCUUUUGAUUUUGAUCUAAGGCCGAAGAGGGCACUCUGGUACCACGAUGGCAGCUCAUGGAAACUGAAGGUUAGCCCCUGUACUUGGUUUACUUACUGAUAUUUCUUGUAAUUCAAUAAACGUUCAUAGCAAUAUACUGAACAUCGAAAGAGUUGACGUAUUUUGCUUUUACUGACUUUUUGAUUGUGAUCUAAGGCAAGAAGGCUCUCAACGAUAUAGUAGCUCAUGGAAAGUGAAGGUUAGCCCCUGCACUUUAUUCGAUAUUUCUUGUAAUUCAAUAAACGUUCAUGGCUUGCAUUGCGAUUUAUACUGAACAUCGAAAGAAUUCACAACGUUAAAACUAACUUUGUUUCCUUUAUUAGCCUACUCACAGGUGAUGUUAUAGCCAUACUCUCACACUUGUCUAAACGUGCGAGCUACCUGAACUUUGAAGAGUGAUCCAUGGAAAAUUUUAGGAUUAUCAACUUGCCAUUUAGCUAUAGGAACACAGCCGGAUUUCACCUGUUGUCUUCUUUAGUACCCAUUAGAGGCAAUCAACUAGCUAACCGUUGAGAAUUGAAAUAAUUCAAUAUCCUGAAUACAUAGGAAGUGCCGGCAAAAGUUUGAUUUUGUAGAGUAAUAUCAACACGUAUUUUUGACAUGUACAACACUGUCCACUACAGUUCUGAUGUAAGCCAAGUUAUUCUUCCAAAACGCUCUAUUUGUUUACUGUUUUCAUCCAGAUCUGUCUAGUAUACCUUCUAACGAAUUUCUGAUACCAUUUUUCUGCAUUUUUCGUUCGUCUUGAAGAUAUUUCUUCAGUUUUCUUUUCUUGAUUUCAACUAUAUUUGAAUGCUAUUGUCCAUGGGAUGCAUCUUGCUAUAUUGCAGGAUGAUAUCUUAAAUCAAUUGUGUUUUUUUUUUCUUUUUAAUCGUCUUGUAGAAUAUAUAUCUAUUCUUUGACUGACUUAUCCCAAGAGUCUUCUUUUCCAGUGCUGUUUGGCUGCUUCAGUUAACGUUGGUAACUUAUUUAAUCAAGAUUUUCUGGCUGUCUUCAUAAGAAAUAAUAUUCACAUCACUACGCCAGGGUUGUCUCAAGUGAUAAACUGUAUCAUUAACCGUCCUCCUUCCGUUAACGGUCUUGGUCUCGGCUAUAGUCGCUCAAUAUUAUUGAAGUUUUAGUUAUGAUGAUUUUACCGGUUCAGUGAAGUCUCUGCCUGUUGGACCACACGGUUCAACUUUUCUGCUUUCCAGUGAAAUCCCGUUGAAAUGCUAUUAGUCAGGUGAAGCUUAAGCGAAGCUAUUUUAAACUCUUCUGUUCACUGUAUGUUCCAGCAGAACUUUUACGGUUGAUAGAUCUGACAUGAUGACACGGGUAUUGCAACCGCUCUACUACACUACAGGCUGUUUUAUUCUCAUUCAGAUGGCGUUUAUCUAAGCGACGCAAAAUUGGCACUAUAUUUGUAAAGCGCAAUUCUGCCACACGCCAAGUCUCCCUCCUUAUUGACCUUGUUCGCAAAAGGGAUUCCCUGCUCGUCCAUUCUGUUCUCUAAAGAUUGUUGUGUAUCUGACACCCAUUGCAAUGUAAAGUUUAUACCACCAUGAUCUUGUUUUCUCAUUUUGUAAGUUCCCGAUCAAUCUUCAUCACCCGAAUCAUUCAGACCGGCUGACAAAAUUUGUCAGUUAAAGUCGCAAACAUUACUUAUCUUUUCUCCGCUAAGUUCAGUGUCGAUUUAGUAAAGGUUUGUUCGUUUAUGCGUUCUGCGGCGUUCCGAGAAUUUGUCAAUCAGUCAAAUUCCAGUCAAAACUUGCUAGCACAAUUCUGUCACAAAAUUGAAUCGAAGUGCAAUAUUGAAAAGAAAGCUGUUCUUGUACUAUUGUUAAGUGCUAAUGCCACGUGUUGACGUAUUUAGAAUUGAUAUCCGUAAAAAAAAUUACACUCAAAGACAUGCAUGAGCUAUUUAUGAGCAUAUAAACUGUAUUUUAACCGUGAUUCGUCUUAAAUUUCUUUCUUUUCAGUAGUGCCAAACGUACAGGAACUGUUCCUCUGUUGCUUAGCUGCUAAAGGAUAUAUAUCAACCCGAUUGCAACUUCCGAAUCAACCUGCAAGGGCCGAUCCCAAGCAAAGCAAAGUCCGCGCUCAGCGCGACUGAACGACUGAACCACGGUAAUUAAAGGUGAUCUGACUACCUAGGAAAAUGAUUCCACGCAAAACGUUAUAUAUAGUUGAGGUUUUUCCGUUUUAGUAAAUCGAAAAAGUCUAAAAUAACAGAAUCCGUUAUCAACUCAACUGAACUGAAGAUCAUCCUCUACGGACAAGCUUACAAAGUUUAGAAGUAAAAACGGUCGAAAUGCAUUCAACUCUAGGCAUAGUAGCUUGUAGUCUCUGUUCUCUGAUGCGUAAAAACCGUUACCAGAUAAAAGUACUACUCGCUAAUAGCCGUCUUGAGUGGCUACCGGCACACUAGGGAUUUUUCUACAUUCUUUAAACAUAGAACCACAUUGUACAGCCUAAAUAACAGUACCAAAUGAAAGUACUGUUCGACAGCUUCCAUUUAAGUGGUCACACACUGGGAUCGCUCCCGCGCACACCUAAAGUUAAUUAGGAUGCGUAAUAAACAGUGCAUUAAUUGGUAACACAGAAGUUUUCUUGCACAGAUCACUCGGCUUAAAAGGUACACCAAAAUAUGCAUUGCCGCAUGAAAGUCCUUCUCAGCUCAAUAGCUUUCAUUAAUAUGAACGAUCGCGCAUACGGGUUUCUUCAACCCACGUUAAGAGUCUGUUAAAUUAGACCCACCAUAAACGGCUCAACAAACUAUGACUAAUGGAAAAAUUGGUCCAAAGUUCAACAUGUUUCUUAUUUCUAUGUUUACAGAGAAUAUGACUAGGCUUUGGGGUGUAAAGCAUUUCAAGUUACACUGUUGAUAUUGUACCUGAGACUAAAAAAGAUAUAUGUAUGAGUGGAUAAUAUAUAGUAUUGGAUAAAGUUUGAACAGUUCAAGAAUUAAACUGCGAAUUUUUUUAAACCUUACAUGAUGAUAUCUGAUUAUAAAAAUAAUUUCCUACGCUAGAUAAUACUCGAUAGGCACGCGAAAUUAGUUCAUUUUUCAUUCCCGUAUCAAGCCUUAGCUACCAACAAGUGUUAAGUUAAAAUGGGUCAUAUAGAUAACUGGCCUCUCACUGAACCCAGUCAAUAACUUUAAUCUUCUCUGCUCUCGCGACAAAGUGUGUUAUCAGUAGAGAAGAGAGAAUAAGAAUCCCUGGGCCUUUUCUGCAAAGCAGCUCGACGUUUUGCCCAAAAGCUGUGCUCUUAGAAAAGCUUGCUUUGACUCUGAACAACAUAAUGGUAGUUAGGCUUUAUUAUUCGGCUUUGCUUGCAGGGUUCUUCUCCUAGUUCUACAUAGUAUCACACAUUUUAAUUUCGGAAACCUGCUCAGAAAACUUCAGUAUUGGACGAUCACAAUAAGAGAAAUUUUAAAAGAAUUCCAGGUCUUCUUUUGUAAAGCGGCUCAACGGUUUGCUAAAACCGGCUGUACUCUUCAAAAGGGCAUUACUUAGGGUCUGAGGUUAGACACUUCCAAAAACAACAAAAUCAUAGUAGCUUGACUUUCAUUUGCCAUUAUUUAUAUAGAGCUUCACUCAGUUCUCACUUAAAAUUAUUAAAAAGAAACUGAACUUUUCCCUAAGAGCUAUUCUACCAAAAAGCAGACCUCUUUUAACUUGCUUCUGUCCCGCUUUGUCUCUGCACCUGUCUAUAAACCUUCUUCUAGCUGGAUUCAGUAAAGACUAUGACCUUUUUUCCACUAAAAACACAGUUGUUACCUAUUGAGUUGCCCUUUGAGAUCUGGAAUUUUGAUCUCUCCUUGAUGUCUAUGUCCUUUUUUGAUGCCAUAUCAUGCGUACGUAUGUGGGCAUGAGUUUGUGUUGUCUAUGUUCUUAUUUUUUAAAACUGAGAAUUUUGCAUGAAGAGAUUUUUGUAUCUGAGUUUUGUGAGUUAUCAUUUGCAGAUAGCGUGUACGGUAAUAAAGCUUUAAUGUAAUUAUUUACUGGUGUACUGUUGAAAAAACGGAAGUAACAUGACAGCCACGCAUUUAGAAACCAAUCAGAUUCGAGGUCGAUUUCAGAAAACUGCCAUUGACCUGUCUUUGCUUAGCAACUUUUUACGCGAGUUGUAUAUAACUUGUUAUCAAAACACACAGCACAAAGCAGUGACCGACAGUAAUGGAUUUUUAUAAAUUGCUAUUGGUCUGCCUGAAUUUGUAAUGAUUAUUAUGAUGCAAUUUUCGUGUAUUAUAUAUAUCGUAAAACGCUCUUUCAAGGGAGCCCAAAUAAAUGAAAUGUACACUGA